This 253-nucleotide ribosomal RNA is filed under the name uncultured bacterium. RNAcentral describes it as "partial 16S ribosomal RNA". It matches the Rfam family "Bacterial small subunit ribosomal RNA", at positions 524 to 776 of the family's 1533-position model. The record is from RNAcentral.
GACAGAGGAUGCAAGCGUUAUCCGGAAUGAUUGGGCGUAAAGCGUCUGUAGGUGGCUUUUUACGUCUGCCCUCAAAUCCCAGGGCUUAACCCUGGACAGGCGGUGGAAACUACCAAGCUGGAGUACGGUAGGGGCAGGGGGAAUUUCCGGUGGAGCGGUGAAAUGCGUAGAGAUCGGAAAGAACACCAACGGCGAAAGCACUCUGCUGGGCCGACACUGACACUGAGAGACGAAAGCUAGGGGAGCGAAUGGG